GGAGAGGUGUCCGAGUGGUUUAAGGAGCUAGUCUUGAAACUAGUGAUUCGCAAGAACCGUGGGUUCGAAUCCCACCCUCUCCGCCA
RNAcentral lists this transfer RNA (86 nucleotides) under Oscillospiraceae bacterium. RNAcentral's name for it is "tRNA-OTHER". It matches the Rfam family "tRNA". From Rfam's summary of the family: Transfer RNA (tRNA) molecules are approximately 80 nucleotides in length. Their secondary structure includes four short double-helical elements and three loops (D, anti-codon, and T loops). The record is from RNAcentral. Lineage: Bacteria; Bacillati; Bacillota; Clostridia; Eubacteriales; Oscillospiraceae.